GCCGGGGUGGCGAAAUGGCAGACGCACCAGCCUUAGGAGCUGGCGGGAGCAAUCCCAUGGAGGUUCAAGUCCUCUCCCCGGCACCA
This 86-nucleotide transfer RNA is filed under the name Candidatus Peregrinibacteria bacterium. RNAcentral's name for it is "tRNA-Leu". It matches the Rfam family "tRNA". Rfam says of the family: Transfer RNA (tRNA) molecules are approximately 80 nucleotides in length. Their secondary structure includes four short double-helical elements and three loops (D, anti-codon, and T loops). The record is from RNAcentral. Lineage: Bacteria; Candidatus Peregrinibacteriota.